Molecule: long non-coding RNA, 490 nt
Organism: Seriola dumerili (greater amberjack)
Lineage: Eukaryota; Metazoa; Chordata; Actinopteri; Carangiformes; Carangidae
Exons: 3
Source: RefSeq, a predicted model, not a curated record
UAUAGUAUAUAUAUAUAUAUAUAUAUAUAUAUAUAUACACAUUUUUAAUCCAGCCAGUCAUCACGCACUGAUGUCAUUCCACUUGAAUAAUACAGACUAACGCACAAUUAGCACGCCAUCCAACUGCUGACCAAAGUGUGUGCAACGGCGAACUAUAGAAGCGAAUCCACUGUAGUCCAACAAAACCAAACCUACCACUGUUUAAUACUGAUAUUUUGUUUUCUGACUGAACUAUGUAAGUCUCUGUAGGAACUGUUUACUGUAGAUGAGCCACGUAACCCUUUCACAGUGACAUCCUGACUGACACAUGAGUUGAAGGUUGUUUUAGGCUGUCAGUUGCCCAAACUGGAAAUUUUUACUGUGACCUUUUUACUGAAUGUGAAACAGCUUUAUUCAGGUCCUACAGCGUGUUGUGAUCUUUUUUUAAAGGUUGAGGAAAUGCUAUAGAAUUUUAAAUAAACCAAGCAAUAGAUUCACAAUGAAAUUAUGU